Molecule: long non-coding RNA, 947 nt
Filed under: Zostera marina
Lineage: Eukaryota; Viridiplantae; Streptophyta; Magnoliopsida; Alismatales; Zosteraceae
Description: long non-coding RNA (ZMAR_LNC001545)
Source: RNAcentral
GAAAAACGACCACUCAGGCACUCAGUUGUACAGUACAACCUUCAUCAACAUCAAAGUAGUACAGUACUCGACAUCAGUUGAGGUGAAUGAUGAGUGUCACAACUAAGUUUUUGAUUCCCAACAAUUUCAUCAUUGAUGUAUAAGGGUAAAAUGAUCAAAAAAAAAUAUAUAUAUAUAUAUAUAGGGAAAGUUUCUGGAACGACACGUCCGCACGGACACCAGAUCGUGAACCCAUCGGAGGUUCUACGGUUCCAGAACGGAGGUCAAUCCAGAACGGAGGUGAACCCAUCGGAGGUUCUACGGAGGUGAACCCAUCGGAGGUGAACCCAUCGGAGGUUCUACGGAGGUGAACCCAUCGGAGGUUCUACGGUUCCAGAACGGAGGUCAAUCCAGAACGGAGGUGAACCCAUCGGAGGUUCUACGGUUCCUGAUAGUUGAUCGACACGCCGCAUCCGUCGCUGCAGGGAAGUGGAUUUGGGAUGUUGUAGUGUUUCAUCUCCGCCCAGGCCACCGCCUUUUCUGUGCGGUUGCAAGCUUUUUGCCUAGAAAUCUUCUAGUUAUUUGUUUAAAUCCCAUCCCGGUGAUCCCGCUCAGCAACUAUUUUAAUUUGAUUUUAUUUCAAAAUCACUGCUUAGUCUGUUUAUUUAUUUAGAGGAACCCAUCGGACGGUGGAGGCCCUGAUAUUUCCUCUAUAUAUAUAUACUCCAUAGCAAUCUUAAUUGGGUACAUUUGACAAUUUCCCUCAUCAUUUUAUUCACCUAUAGGUGGAAUUUUCAUACAUAUUAGACUUGGAUAGUCUUGGUUUUAACGUUAAGAUGAGUACACCGCAUAAAAUUUAUAUUUUUAUGGUUUUAAAAUAGCUUGAUUUCUUUUUAUUCAUUUUCUGCACUGAAUUUUGGCAGCCUGAAUAUCAAGACAAAACAAUGAAACUUCGAAUUCCUUUCUCU